CGGCAACCUCAUUUUGGGGGCCAUGUUCCAAGGGGAGAAUAGAUAAUAGUUAAGUGGAGAAAGAUGUGGAUUGAAGUGAAACUAAGAGGAGAAGAUGAUUUUGGAGAGUUUCUUAUAGAUUUUGUAGGUUAGGGUUUGGAAUUUGGGGAAAUCAAGAGAGUGAGCCAUGUGAUCAAAAAAUUUAAGGAGAGUGAUCCAUGAUUUUGUGAGAUUUUGAGGUUUGGAGAGAUCUAAAAGGAGAUUCUUAGGUUUGGGAUG
RNAcentral lists this long non-coding RNA (258 nucleotides) under Elaeis guineensis (African oil palm). Its description in RNAcentral is "long non-coding RNA (EGUI_LNC081212)". Lineage: Eukaryota; Viridiplantae; Streptophyta; Magnoliopsida; Arecales; Arecaceae. The record is from RNAcentral.